UUCUGAGAAGGGUUCAAGUGUGAGCAUACCUAUCGAGACCCGAAAGAUGGUGAAAUAUGCCUGAGCGAGGCAAAGCUGUAGGAAACUCUGGUGGAGGACCGCAACGAUACUGACAUGUAAAUCAUUCGUAUGACUCUCUUUGUCGAGCCAUGCCACAAAAUCAAGAGCUCCAAGUAGGCCAUUUUUGGUAAGCAGAACUGGCUAUGCGGGAUAUCAAAAGACGGGUUACGAUGCCAAACUACACGCUAACCUAGAUCCCGCAAAGGGUGUUAGUCGAUUAAGACAGCACAACGGUGGUCAUGGAAGUCAAAAUCUGCUAAGGAGUGUGUAACAACUCACCUACAGAAUAAACUAGCCCCGAAAAUGAAUGGCGCUUAAGCGCGCGACCUACACCCGACGACGGGGAAAGUUCCAGGCCCCGAUAAGUAGGAGGGCGCGAUGGUCGCUGCAAAACCUUGGGCGCGAGCCCGGGAAGAGCGAUGUUCGAUGCAGAUAUUGGGGGUAGUAGCAAAUAUUCAAAUAAGAACUUUGAUGGCCGUUGAGAGGAAAGGUUCCAUGUGAACAACACUUGCACCUGGGUUAGUCGAUCCUAAGGGUCAGGGGUACCACGACAGAUAGCGCGUUUUGUGCGUACUCCAAAAGAGAAUAGGGUUUAAAUUCCUGGACUGGGAUGUGGCGGUCGAAGGCAAUGUUAGAAUGUCCGGAGACGUAGGCGGGAGCCUUAGGAAGAGUAAUCUUUUCUGUUUUACAGCCUGCCCACCCUGGAAUCGGCUCAUCCGGAAGUAAGGUCCAGCAGCUGAAAGAGCAUCGAACGUCGCACGGUGUCCGGUGCACUACCAGCGUCCUUUGAAAAUCCAGAGGACCGAUUGUCGUCCAUGCCAGGUCGUACUCAUAAUCACAUCAGGUCUCAAAGGGGAACAUCCUCUGAUUGAUGGAACAAUAUAAGCAAGGAAAGUCAACAAAAUGGAUCCAUAACUUCUGGAAAAGGAUUGGCACUAAGGGCUGGGCACGGGGGUCCCAAUCCUGAACCCGUCGACUGUCGGUGGACUACUCGAGCUGCUCCCACAGUGAGAGCGGGUCGCCACGUGCCAGUUGGGGGAUAGACUGGGAACGGUUCCUUCGGGGGCCUUCUCCGCGUGUCGAACAUCCAACUCAGAACUGGUACGGACAAGGAGAAUCCGAAUGUUUAAUUAAACAAAGCAUUGCGAUGGUCCUAAAGGAUGUUCAGGCAUUGUGAUUUCUGCUCAGUGCUCUUAAUGUCAAAGUGAAUAAAUUUAGCUAAGCGCGGGUAAACGGCGGGAGUAACUAUGACUCUCUUAAGGUAGCCAAAUGCCUCAUAAUCUAAUUAGUGACGCACAUGAAUGGAUUAAAGAGAUUCCCACUAUCCCUGUCUACUAUCCAGCGAAGCCA
RNAcentral lists this ribosomal RNA (1410 nucleotides) under Capsicum annuum. RNAcentral describes it as "eukaryotic LSU rRNA". It matches the Rfam family "Eukaryotic large subunit ribosomal RNA", at positions 777 to 2367 of the family's 3401-position model. The record is from RNAcentral. Lineage: Eukaryota; Viridiplantae; Streptophyta; Magnoliopsida; Solanales; Solanaceae.